Molecule: long non-coding RNA, 4331 nt
Organism: Pleuronectes platessa (European plaice)
Lineage: Eukaryota; Metazoa; Chordata; Actinopteri; Pleuronectiformes; Pleuronectidae
Exons: 3
Source: RefSeq, a predicted model, not a curated record
AAUACUUGCAAAACACAGUCAAACAGUGAGGUAGGAAGACUUGAUAGCAAGGAUGAAAAAGAUAAGAUAAACGAGUGGCUCGGCAGUAAAUGUUCUUUUUGUGCACGCAUCAGUGUGUUCUUACGAAUAACAGGACUAAGUGGUGUUCAAAUAUCCCCAAGCCUUCGUUAUCUCUGCAAAAUUCCAGCGCUGGAGUGGACAUGCAUGACUGAACUUUGAGAACAACCUCUGCAGCUGAGCUACAGCGCAACUACAGUGGAAACAAUGGAAAAAUCCACUGUCCUGAAAAGUGGAAACUUUCCACCGCCUGCAGCCGAGAGAUCAAACCCACAGGAAGUGUUCGAGCGAUGAGUUUCAAACCAAAAGAUGGCCGCAGGAAAGGCUGGUGGAAAAGAAGGAGGAAGAGUACAAGUUGCUUCAACAGCUUCUCAAGGAAAAAAAAAAAGUACUGCAAGUUUGAGGUGGUUUCCUUUUAUUUUACUGUAUACCCCUUCUCCAUUACAUUAGAGGAAAGUAAUUCAGUUUUUACUCCACUACAUGUAUCUUAAAAGCAUCAGUUACUAGUUACUUUUGUGGAAUAACUGUAAAACAUAAGAGGAUCUAAGAGGAUCCUAUGUUUUAAAUGUGUAAAGUAGAUUUUUGAACAAAUGUAGUGUUAACAAAAAAGAAGAGCUAGAAAUAGAGAAAAUAUAAGUUGUUUCUGUAGCUUUUAAAUGACACUUGAAUAUCUAAUCUAAUCAUGUACUUCCAGUUUGAGUGGUUUCCUUUCAUUCUACUUGACACCUUUACUCCAUUUCAUGAUGGAAGUAAGUAACGUAGUUUUACUCCACUACAUUUAUCUAACAGCAUUUGUAAAUAACUGUGUAAGUCGAUUUUUUUAACAAAGGUAUUAUUAGUAUUAAAGUAGAGUAAUUUAUCAACCUGUUGAUAAAAUAUGAUGCACCAUUAUUAAUUCAUUCACACAACAGCAGGAAGAAAAGGAAGCUAGAAUUGGCCCCACCCUGACUUACUACAACACUGAACUACAGCUUAUAUAGACCAAUAAUUAUCAUACUAUGAUUUAAUACAUUGAUAAGAGGUACGCUGCAUAGUGUGUGCUUUUACUUUUGAAAUUUUAAGCUCAUUUUGUUGCAUACAUGUGUUUAUUCUUUUAAAAAAUAUAAAAAUUUAGGAGCAAUACUGGGUCAACUUUGACCAGUACCCAUGGGUAGAACACCACUGUGCCAAUAAUCAUCCGGUGUAUGGAACAGAGUGAGACUUUGUGUUAAAAUCCAGGCUUGCAGCAGUUAUACAUCAGACAUUGCAGUGAUGAAUCCAACCAUGAGAAAAAAGGGGGUUUCCCCAGACGUCUGACUUCUCAUCCUUCCCACGACAGCAGUUUCAUGCAGCUGCGCAGUGCAGUGCAGCAUCCAGGCUGCUGAAGUGUGAUGGACGCCUGCUGCAGUGACCUUGAGACAGUCAGUGUUACAUCCUACUGCGCCAUCUGCUGUCCAAAUGCACUCAGUAAAAAACCAACACACACACCAUCAAGGGCCUUGAGCUGACAUUUCUAAAUAAGGGUCGAGUUCAUGAUAACAGUUUGUAUCGAUCGCUUAAACACUUUGUCCUCUCUGACAUCAUGAGAAGUCGGAAAUGACAUGCUCUGUUUGCAAAGUUCUCAAACUCUCACAAAACAUUAAACUCAUCCAAUGAAAGUAAAUAUUUCCCACAAACAUCAUAACUUGCGGUCAAUCGAAUAAAUUAUUUUAAAUCAAUCACUGCACAGUAAAAAAAACUAAAACAAUAUAAAGGUAUUGAAGCAAGCAAGCCAACAUGAAUUGUAUUAUUUUCUCCCCUCAAAAUUUUAGUAGGCAUAACCCUGUUGAACUCUGCACCAGCUAACUUUACACUUUACGAUGCUCUGUUGAUGUGCAGUAAAAACAAGAUAUUUUCAAAGGAAGUUUCACUCAUUUGAAUGGGCAGGUCUAUGUUUGUCUUUAAAAUGUACAACCUAUGGUAACUAAGUAUAAAACAUUUACACUUUCAAUAUGGUCCCGCUUUUGUUCUUAUAAAACUAAUAUGAAGAAUUAAACCAAAAAUCUGAAAUACACAGACUACUAAAAUGGCACUCAAUAGAGUACAUACCUCCGCCAAGGCCCAACAUUUACCUUGUGAAAGCACAUUUAAGUUCACCAGAGACAGUUUAUGAUUUGGAUCUGCACCAAACUAAUUAUUCUUUGAAAAAUUUACGAAAAUGUUUAAAAGCACAAGAAAGAGCAACUACGGUUCUGAUAUGGGCUCCUUCCUGACCAAUACCACAUCCUUCCAGUUCCCUGGUAAUCAGUCCUCCUAACUAACAGACAAAUAAACACAGACAAAUGUUUAAUUUCCUUUGGCGAAGGUAAAACUAUAUUGCUCUGUAUCAGAACAACGUUUUAAACUGAGAAAGGAGUAAAACUGUUAAAACAAAUACCAUGAAAAACAAUUAAAAUUACAGUAAAGAACCCAAAUUAAAUGUAUGGAUGAAAAUACACAAUGAUAUACCAAAAAAAAAAGUCUCUUUGCUCCAUCUGUGCAAAGAGCAACACUGAGGUGGGUAAAGACUGAAAGAUUGCUGUUUGGAGAUGUGUGCAAAGGAGCCUCUCACAGGUGCAUUACACACUCUUUGUUAUGCAAGACAUUUCUAGCAACUGUGAGUUGACAUUUUCCUUUUGUUUAGCUAAGUUAAACCAAUAGAAAUGAAAUUUAUGUGAGAUCUGUGUUAACUGUUUGAGAAAGGAUCUGAAAAAGGGUGUGAGCCCAAUGAAAAAGUUUAUGUUAGCGAAGACUUCUGCUAAGUGUGGUGAGGAAGAUAAAAGGGAUCUCAGAUUCAUCAAGUGGGUCUGACCAUCGAGAAUAAUAUAAAACGAAUAAAUAUUGUGUAAGCUGAUCACAUUCUUUGCAUAUUUGAUCAGAUGGAAAGUCAAGUAGAAAAGAAUAAAUUGCACUAGAGUAAAUAUACUUUCUUCAACCAAUAACUACAGACCAGACGGAAAUGUAAUGAAUUAUGUUUGAGUUCAGUCUUUCGUCCAGGCCAUUUAUAUGCAGCUUAUCUUUGCUAACCACAGAGCCUGGAAACAGUUGGCCUGUGUCUGGUAAAUGUCUGUCACCUGUGUGACAGGUUGUCUCUGGCCCUACUCCUGACAACUACCUGUGAAACGGUUGGAGGCAGCUGCACUGGAACUCUGUUCAUAAAAUGCUGGUGAAGGCAGCAGCCAAGGAGGAGUGAUAAAGGAGAGUUGUAGCAUGUUGCUGUCAACCAGUUUAAAAUAUUUUCCCAGAGCCAAAGCUUCCCUAGAUGUUGCAUUACAAUGUGAGGCAGCAUGGAUGGCAGUGGUGUGAGUGACCUUUACCCAACUGCGUGGUUUCUAAGGAAUUAGCCAAACUUUGUUUUAGUAAGUCCUCCUCAAACUGUUCAACAAUCUACUUUCACUUUUCUAUUGUUUGUGUGCAGGGUUUUUCAUAUUCAGUCUGUGGUGCAGAGAGUUUGUUUUCAUCCUACCUGGUUUAUCUGCUGUGAAGAUUUUAUAGUGAAUGUUUUUAAUAAAAUGAAACUGAAUUAGCUUUAUUAAUGUUUUUGUGUGUGGCCUACAUAUCAGUCUGAACGAUUGACCUAGCUCCUGAUGUUUUUGUCCUGAUGUCUGUUUGUUUGUUGGAUUACGGAGAACCUCCCUAACUGAUCUGAUGGAGGACUGCCGUAUGGGAAGAGAAAGAAGUCAUUUGAUUUUGGAGGGUGGUUGAUUAAGGGAAAAGAUCCAGGCAGGGGUAAGAUCAGAUAAAAUAAGAUAACCUCCCCGUUCGUGGUAAAAUCCAUAGACUGUUUUAAUCCCACCUCCUCCAUGUUAUAGGAUGAGAAAUGGACCAAACUAAAAACUCUGAGUACAGUAAAGUUCUCUAUAACGUGAUUUCUGUCAUUUUUUGUCUUAAUUAGUCAUUUGACAAUAUCAAAACAAGCUGAAACAUUACGAUUGACAGUUGAGACUGACUUGUUAUUGGUCGGGUGCGUGCACAGACAGGACGUCGCUAUCGCGGCUCCAUCGCUGGAUUCCGUCAAACCUCAUUAACUCUAGCUCUUUAACUGGUAGGCUCCUGCAGCCUUUAUCCUAAAGACAUUCUUUAAAAAUUGGAAUAAGUGACCUUCAGUCUAAUGGAUACUAAUCUGACUCAAAAAAAUGCAAGAAACCACAAAGAGGACAAAUCAAGGAAUGAUGUUGUCCUACCAAGAAGUCUAACUUCAUAAGCUUCAAAGUGACAGAAUACAGCCUUUUUAUUGUAUUGCAUGAAUUUACUAAUAAUUCAAUUACUACAAUAAA